GAUCAUGGCUCAGGACGAACGCUGGCGGCGUGCUUAACACAUGCAAGUCGAACGGGGAUUAGUUGAUAGAGAGCUUCGGCAGGAAAUUGAUUAAUUCGAGUGGCGGACGGGUGAGUAACGCGUGAGCAACCUGUCCCAGACAGGGGGAUAACACUUGGAAACAGGUGCUAAUACCGCAUAAGACCACGGGAUCACAUGGUUCCGGGGUAAAAGGAGCAAUCCGGUUUGGGGUGGGCUCGCGUCCGAUUAGCCAGUUGGCGGGUAACGGCCCACCAAAGCGACGAUCGGUAGCCGACCUGAGAGGGUGAACGGCCACAUUGGAACUGAGAGACGGUCCAAACUCCUACGGGAGGCAGCAGUGGGGAAUAUUGGGCAAUGGGCGCAAAGCCUGACCCAGCAACGCCGCGUGAAGGAAGAAGGCUUUCGGGUUGUAAACUUCUUUUAAGAGGGAAGAGCAGAAGACGGUACCUCUAGAAUAAGCCACGGCUAACUACGUGCCAGCCGCGGC
RNAcentral lists this ribosomal RNA (508 nucleotides) under uncultured bacterium. RNAcentral's name for it is "bacterial SSU rRNA". It matches the Rfam family "Bacterial small subunit ribosomal RNA", at positions 15 to 518 of the family's 1533-position model. The record is from RNAcentral.